Molecule: transfer RNA, 69 nt
Filed under: Ictidomys tridecemlineatus (thirteen-lined ground squirrel)
Lineage: Eukaryota; Metazoa; Chordata; Mammalia; Rodentia; Sciuridae
Description: Spermophilus tridecemlineatus (thirteen-lined ground squirrel) tRNA
Rfam family: tRNA
About the family: Transfer RNA (tRNA) molecules are approximately 80 nucleotides in length.
Source: Rfam by way of RNAcentral
GGAGCUGUAGCUCCGUGGCAGAGCACUUGCCUAGCAUGCAUGAAGCACUGGGUUCGAUCCUCAGCACCA